RNAcentral lists this ribosomal RNA (254 nucleotides) under uncultured bacterium. RNAcentral describes it as "partial 16S ribosomal RNA". It matches the Rfam family "Bacterial small subunit ribosomal RNA", at positions 524 to 776 of the family's 1533-position model. The record is from RNAcentral.
UACGGGGGGAGCAAGCGUUGUUCGGAUUUACUGGGCGUAAAGGGCGCGUAGGCGGCCACUUCAGGUCAGUUGUGAAAUCUCCGGGCUUAACCCGGAAAGGUCAACUGAUACUGCAGGGCUAGAGUGCAGAAGGGGCAACUGGAAUUCUCGGUGUAGCGGUGAAAUGCGUAGAUAUCGAGAGGAACACCUGCGGCGAAGGCGGGUUGCUGGGCUGACACUGACGCUGAGGCGCGAAAGCCAGGGGAGCGAACGGG